This 253-nucleotide ribosomal RNA is filed under the name uncultured bacterium. Its description in RNAcentral is "partial 16S ribosomal RNA". It matches the Rfam family "Bacterial small subunit ribosomal RNA", at positions 524 to 776 of the family's 1533-position model. The record is from RNAcentral.
GACGUAGGGCGCGAGCGUUGUCCGGAUUUAUUGGGCGUAAAGAGCUCGUAGGCGGCUCGUUGCGUCGGCUGUGAAAACCCGCAGCUCAACUGUGGGCUUGCAGCUGAUACGGGCGGGCUGGAGUUCGGUAGGGGAGACUGGAAUUCCUGGUGUAGCGGUGAAAUGCGCAGAUAUCAGGAGGAACACCGGUGGCGAAGGCGGGUCUCUGGGCCGAUACUGACGCUGAGGAGCGAAAGCCAGGGGAGCAAACGGG